GGGGAAUAUUGGACAAUGGGCGCAAGCCUGAUCCAGCCAUACCGCGUGGGUGAAGAAGGCCUUCGGGUUGUAAAGCCCUUUUGUUGGGAAAGAAAUCCAGCCGGCUAAUACCUGGUUGGGAUGACGGUACCCAAAGAAUAAGCACCGGCUAACUUCGUGCCAGCAGCCGCGGUAAUACGAAGGGUGCAAGCGUUACUCGGAAUUACUGGGCGUAAAGCGUGCGUAGGUGGUCGUUUAAGUCCGUUGUGAAAGCCCUGGGCUCAACCUGGGAACUGCAGUGGAUACUGGAAGUCUUGAGUAUGGCAGAGGUGAGUGGAACUGCGAGUGUAGAGGUGAAAUUCGUAGAUAUUCGCAAGAACCCCAGUGGCGAAGGCGGCUCACUGGGCCAUUACUGACGCUGAGGCACGAAAGCGUGGGGAGCAAACA
RNAcentral lists this ribosomal RNA (426 nucleotides) under uncultured Pseudomonadota bacterium. Its description in RNAcentral is "bacterial SSU rRNA". It matches the Rfam family "Bacterial small subunit ribosomal RNA", at positions 356 to 774 of the family's 1533-position model. Lineage: Bacteria; Pseudomonadati; Pseudomonadota. The record is from RNAcentral.